RNAcentral lists this long non-coding RNA (1300 nucleotides) under Salmo salar (Atlantic salmon). Its description in RNAcentral is "lncRNA (ENSSSAG00000116970.1)". The record is from RNAcentral. Lineage: Eukaryota; Metazoa; Chordata; Actinopteri; Salmoniformes; Salmonidae.
UGUGUGUGUUAUGAAGGGCCUGGACUGAGUAUGCUUGGGACUGGUGACGCUGGUCUCUCAUACUCACAGUGGAGCCUGUGACUGCCUGGUUGAUGUUGGAGAUGAAGGGCUUGUGAGAAGGCCACUACACACUCCUCCGUGUGUCAGACAGGACCCCACUACACAGACUGAGUGUGUUAACUAUUCAUUUCUGUGCAGUGUCCCAUACACACAGCCUCUUACCGUCAGUAACGCUGCCCUGAGCAAUCACAGCCACGCAGUCUGCCGGAGGAUUCUACUGCAGUCACAGACACGCUCCAUUUGAUCCUGUCAAUAAUUCAGCGCUAAGCAAUCACAACUAGACCCUCACUCCUCUUAAGACAUGAGGGAACUAACAGAAACGAGAGCAGUCCUGCAGCUCUGUUGCAUAUCGAGCUAUGGAUCCUACCUGAUCGCCUUGUUCGUCAUGGGUAGAGCAGUAUGAGGAAGGGAGCAUUUUCCCCUGUGAAGAUUCUGUCUGAAUAUUUUGGUUUCCCCAUAUAUGCUUUCUUGCCUUUUCCUUUCACCAGUCAGUAAAAAUUGUAUUUUUGUUCUUACUUUGACAUGUUUAAUUUGCAUACAGCGUAUGUCAAUGCAUUAAUGUCUAGUUUAUAUUAUACACAUUCCAGAUUAUUAUGUCAUGUCUAGUGACCCAUAUGCUUCUUGUCACCCAGUGUGAUUCCUACUGAUCAGCUAGUAUAAAGUGGGAAAUGUUCAACGAGUGGCUGGUAGCAAGGCAAUGGUAGACCUUUAAGCUUUUUAUGCAUGUGUCACUUUUUUGUUUUGUUUCUUACGAUUAGUAGCCUAAAGCCACAUAAAUGUCAAAUAAAUCACUCUGUAGAAGAAUUACAACUUAGAAGGUGGUUAAUUGAAAAAGCCCAUGAAGUAAAAGCUUGAUCUGCACGCCAAUGCUUAGGUGACACUAAAAAUACACACCCACUUUCAUAAGGGAUAUCGCUGAAAAAACAAGGUUUUGCCAUACAACUUGAGAGGUUUGCAGUUUUGCUUUAUAAAUGCAGUAUACCUGCAAGUUUGUUCCACACUGCUAAUUUACCUUACUAUCUCAGACUCUGCAUCACUUGUAAAUAAGGAUUAUAAAGUAAGUUAUUGCUCUGAAUGUGUUUCUAUUACAAAGCAUGGACAGAAUUUCCCCCACACACACCACACACACACACACAUCUUUCCAAAGAAUAGUAUUACAACAAAUACUACAUUUCCCUACAGUAAAUUCUAGAUUUUAGUCAGAGUUACAGUGAGCUCCAAAAGUAUUGGGGCAGUGACA